AGCGAACGCUGGCGGCAGGCCUAACACAUGCAAGUCGAACGAACCUUUCGGGGUUAGUGGCGGACGGGUGAGUAACACGUGGGAACGUGCCUUUAGGUUCGGAAUAACUCAGGGAAACUUGUGCUAAUACCGAAUGUGCCCUUCGGGGGAAAGAUUUAUCGCCUUUAGAGCGGCCCGCGUCUGAUUAGCUAGUUGGUGAGGUAAUGGCUCACCAAGGCGACGAUCAGUAGCUGGUCUGAGAGGAUGAUCAGCCACAUUGGGACUGAGACACGGCCCAAACUCCUACGGGAGGCAGCAGUGGGGAAUCUUGCGCAAUGGGCGAAAGCCUGACGCAGCCAUGCCGCGUGAAUGGUGAAGGUCUUAGGAUUGUAAAAUUCUUUCACCGGGGACGAUAAUGACGGUACCCGGAGAAGAAGCCCCGGCUAACUUCGUG
RNAcentral lists this ribosomal RNA (433 nucleotides) under uncultured bacterium. Its description in RNAcentral is "partial 16S ribosomal RNA". It matches the Rfam family "Bacterial small subunit ribosomal RNA", at positions 29 to 507 of the family's 1533-position model. The record is from RNAcentral.